UGAUACCGCCCAAGAGUUCAUAUCGACGGCGGUGUUUGGCACCUCGAUGUCGGCUCAUCACAUCCUGGGGCUGAAGUCGGUCCCAAGGGUAUGGCUGUUCGCCAUUUAAAGUGGUACGCGAGCUGGGUUUAGAACGUCGUGAGACAGUUCGGUCCCUAUCUUGCGUGGGCGUUGGAAAAUUGAAAGGGGCUGCUCCUAGUACGAGAGGACCGGAGGGGACGAACCUCUGGUGUUCGGGUUGUCAUGC
Molecule: ribosomal RNA, 247 nt
Filed under: Vibrio cyclitrophicus ZF207
Lineage: Bacteria; Pseudomonadati; Pseudomonadota; Gammaproteobacteria; Vibrionales; Vibrionaceae
Description: partial 23S ribosomal RNA
Rfam family: Bacterial large subunit ribosomal RNA
Source: RNAcentral